This 367-nucleotide ribosomal RNA is filed under the name Vibrio splendidus FF-6. Its description in RNAcentral is "bacterial SSU rRNA". It matches the Rfam family "Bacterial small subunit ribosomal RNA", at positions 85 to 455 of the family's 1533-position model. Lineage: Bacteria; Pseudomonadati; Pseudomonadota; Gammaproteobacteria; Vibrionales; Vibrionaceae. The record is from RNAcentral.
UGGGCGUCGAGCGGCGGACGGGUGAGUAAUGCCUAGGAAAUUGCCUUGAUGUGGGGGAUAACCAUUGGAAACGAUGGCUAAUACCGCAUAAUGCCUACGGGCCAAAGAGGGGGAUCUUCGGACCUCUCGCGUCAAGAUAUGCCUAGGUGGGAUUAGCUAGUUGGUGAGGUAAUGGCUCACCAAGGCGACGAUCCCUAGCUGGUCUGAGAGGAUGAUCAGCCACACUGGAACUGAGACACGGUCCAGACUCCUACGGGAGGCAGCAGUGGGGAAUAUUGCACAAUGGGCGAAAGCCUGAUGCAGCCAUGCCGCGUGUAUGAAGAAGGCCUUCGGGUUGUAAAGUACUUUCAGUUGUGAGGAAGGGGGU